This 254-nucleotide ribosomal RNA is filed under the name uncultured bacterium. RNAcentral describes it as "partial 16S ribosomal RNA". It matches the Rfam family "Bacterial small subunit ribosomal RNA", at positions 524 to 776 of the family's 1533-position model. The record is from RNAcentral.
UACGUAGGCAGCGAGCGUUGUUCGGAAUCACUGGGCGUAAAGGGCGCGUAGGCGGCCUGAUAAGUAGGGGGUGAAAUCCUGCGGCUUAACCGCAGGGCUGCCUUCUAAACUGUCAGGCUGGAGCACAGUAGAGGCAGGUGGAAUUCCCGGUGUAGCGGUGGGAUGCGUAGAGAUCGGGAAGAACAUCAGUGGCGAAGGCGGCCUGCUGGGCUGUUGCUGACGCUGAGGCGCGACAGCGGUGGGGAGCAAACAGG